This 253-nucleotide ribosomal RNA is filed under the name uncultured bacterium. Its description in RNAcentral is "partial 16S ribosomal RNA". It matches the Rfam family "Bacterial small subunit ribosomal RNA", at positions 524 to 776 of the family's 1533-position model. The record is from RNAcentral.
UACGAAGGGGGCUAGCGUUGCUCGGAAUUACUGGGCGUAAAGGGCGCGUAGGCGGACAGUUUAGUCAGAGGUGAAAGCCCAGGGCUCAACCUCGGAACUGCCUUCGAUACUGCGGGUCUCGAGUCCGGGAGAGGUGAGUGGAAUUCCUAGUGUAGAGGUGAAAUUCGUAGAUAUUAGGAAGAACACCAGUGGCGAAGGCGGCUCACUGGCCCGGUACUGACGCUGAGGCGCGAAAGCGUGGGGAGCAAACAGG